UGGGGAAUAUUGCACAAUGGGCGCAAGCCUGAUGCAGCCAUGCCGCGUGUAUGAAGAAGGCCUUCGGGUUGUAAAGUACUUUCAGCGAGGAGGAAGGCGUUGUGGUUAAUAACCGCAACGAUUGACGUUACUCGCAGAAGAAGCACCGGCUAACUCCGUGCCAGCAGCCGCGGUAAUACGGAGGGUGCAAGCGUUAAUCGGAAUUACUGGGCGUAAAGCGCACGCAGGCGGUCUGUCAAGUCGGAUGUGAAAUCCCCGGGCUCAACCUGGGAACUGCAUCCGAAACUGGCAGGCUAGAGUCUUGUAGAGGGGGGUAGAAUUCCAGGUGUAGCGGUGAAAUGCGUAGAGAUCUGGAGGAAUACCGGUGGCGAAGGCGGCCCCCUGGACAAAGACUGACGCUCAGGUGCGAAAGCGUGGGGAACAAACA
Molecule: ribosomal RNA, 427 nt
Filed under: uncultured bacterium
Lineage: Bacteria
Description: partial 16S ribosomal RNA
Rfam family: Bacterial small subunit ribosomal RNA
Source: RNAcentral